This 309-nucleotide ribosomal RNA is filed under the name Mesorhizobium sp. M4B.F.Ca.ET.169.01.1.1. Its description in RNAcentral is "partial 23S ribosomal RNA". It matches the Rfam family "Bacterial large subunit ribosomal RNA", at positions 780 to 1087 of the family's 2925-position model. Lineage: Bacteria; Pseudomonadati; Pseudomonadota; Alphaproteobacteria; Hyphomicrobiales; Phyllobacteriaceae. The record is from RNAcentral.
CGACUUACGUUGAAAAGUGAGCGGAUGAGUUGAGGGUAGCGGAGAAAUUCCAAUCGAACCUGGAGAUAGCUGGUUCUCUCCGAAAUAGCUUUAGGGCUAGCCUCAAGUGAUGAUUAUUGGAGGUAGAGCACUGUUUGGAAGAGGGGCCCUUCUCGGGUUACCGAAUUCAGACAAACUCCGAAUGCCAAUCAAUUUAACUUGGGAGUCAGAACGCGGGUGAUAAGGUCCGUGUUCGAAAGGGAAACAGCCCAGACCACCAGCUAAGGUCCCAAAAUAUAUGUUAAGUGGAAAAGGAUGUGGCGUUGCCCA